GUCUGUGUUGCAGAGCCUUUGAUGGGAGAAAAAAUUCAACGCCUUGGACUGAAUCUUGCAUCAGACCCAAUGUGAUCCUUUCUCCAUCAAACCCAUGUAAUUUUCGUUUUAUGGAGGAUUUGUUUUCUUCCAUGUAUGAGGUUAUGGAUUUGUGCUUCAAAAUAAGAACUCUGGUCAUGAUGAAUCCAAUUGGAGUUUUCGGGCUUGUUAGUGGAGAACUGAG
Long non-coding RNA from Prunus dulcis (almond), 223 nucleotides. RefSeq lists it as uncharacterized. The transcript is spliced from 3 exons. The record is from RefSeq and is a predicted model, not a curated record. NCBI's taxonomy places the organism in Eukaryota, Viridiplantae, Streptophyta, Magnoliopsida, Rosales, Rosaceae.